RNAcentral lists this ribosomal RNA (487 nucleotides) under uncultured soil bacterium. RNAcentral describes it as "bacterial SSU rRNA". It matches the Rfam family "Bacterial small subunit ribosomal RNA", at positions 26 to 505 of the family's 1533-position model. The record is from RNAcentral.
AGAGUGAACGCUGGCGGCAGGCCUAACACAUGCAAGUCGAACGGCAGCACAGCAGUAGCAAUACUGUGGGUGGCGAGUGGCGGACGGGUGAGGAAUACAUCGGAAUCUACCUUGUCGUGGGGGGAUAACGUAGGGAAACUUACGCUAAUACCGCAUACGAACUACGGUUGAAAGCGGCGGACCGCAAGGCGUCGCGCGAUUGGAUGAGCCGAUGUCCGAUUAGCUAGUUGGCGGGUAAAGGCCCACAAGGCGACGAUCGGUAGCUGGUCUGAGAGGAUGAUCAGCCACACUGGAACUGAGACACGGUCCAGACUCUACGGGAGGCAGCAGUGGGAAUAGUUGGACAAGUGGGCGCAAGCCUGAUCCAGCCAUGCCGCGUGUGUGAAGAAGGCCUUAGGUUGUAAAGCUACUUUGUACGGUAAAGAAUCCUGUCGGUUAAGUACCCGGUGGGAUGACGGUACCGAAGAAUAAGCACCGGCUAACUCGU